This 214-nucleotide unclassified non-coding RNA is filed under the name uncultured Agaricales. RNAcentral's name for it is "sequence contains ITS2". The record is from RNAcentral. Lineage: Eukaryota; Fungi; Basidiomycota; Agaricomycetes; Agaricales.
AAUUCUCAACUCUUUAAAUUGCUGUAAUGGUGAUUUUGAAGACGUUGGAUGUGGAGGCUUUUGCUGGCUUUUCAUUAAGUCAGCUCCUCUUAAAUGCAUUAGUGGUUACUGUUCUUUUCCACUUUGGUGUGAUAGUCUAUCUACGCCUAUAAGUGAAAGAUGUUAAGUGUAGCUGCUUUCAAACCGUCUGGACUUUACUGGACAAUUUUGAACU